Molecule: small nuclear RNA, 128 nt
Filed under: Paraphaeosphaeria sporulosa
Lineage: Eukaryota; Fungi; Ascomycota; Dothideomycetes; Pleosporales; Didymosphaeriaceae
Description: U4 spliceosomal RNA
Rfam family: U4 spliceosomal RNA
About the family: U4 small nuclear RNA (U4 snRNA) is a component of the major U2-dependent spliceosome. The structure of U4 snRNA from yeast and human has been reported.
Source: Rfam by way of RNAcentral
AACUCCUCGCAGCUUUACGCUUACCAGUGAAGAUUCGUCUGAGGUAGCGUUUUUGCUAGUUGAAAACUACAACUAUGACCGCUCUUGUUGGUCUUCGGAUCGGCAAGGAAUUUUUGGCAACUACGCGU